RNAcentral lists this long non-coding RNA (202 nucleotides) under Solanum tuberosum (potato). RNAcentral's name for it is "long non-coding RNA (STUB_LNC009802)". The record is from RNAcentral. Lineage: Eukaryota; Viridiplantae; Streptophyta; Magnoliopsida; Solanales; Solanaceae.
UCAUCAAGACAUUCAUGACCAUAAGGAACUAAAACUUACCGGCGCCUUCAUUCGGAUUAGCUUCUUUGUCCUUGCUAGUUUGGAGAGCAUAGAAACGACCAUAAUUUGGAGGAAUAGGAACCGUUCCAUCUUUAGAAGCUUGCUUUGCCUCCCUUCCUCUAGCCGUAAGAGUAGGACAAUCUUUCACCUUGUGAUCAUUCUU